RNAcentral lists this transfer RNA (74 nucleotides) under Candidatus Epulonipiscium sp. Its description in RNAcentral is "tRNA-His". It matches the Rfam family "tRNA". Rfam says of the family: Transfer RNA (tRNA) molecules are approximately 80 nucleotides in length. Their secondary structure includes four short double-helical elements and three loops (D, anti-codon, and T loops). Lineage: Bacteria; Bacillati; Bacillota; Clostridia; Lachnospirales; Lachnospiraceae. The record is from RNAcentral.
GUGGGUAUAGCUCAGUUGGUUAGAGCGCCAGAUUGUGGCUCUGGAGGUCGUGGGUUCGAAUCCCACUAUUCACC